UAAAAAUUAAUUUCAUAUUUUCGUAUAUACUCAGGAAUAUGGCCUGAGCGUUUCUACCGAGCUACCGUAAAUGGCUUGACUACGAAGGAAGUACGUUGUUAU
This 102-nucleotide non-coding RNA is filed under the name Anaerobacillus arseniciselenatis. RNAcentral describes it as "Guanine sequence". It matches the Rfam family "Purine riboswitch aptamer". Rfam says of the family: Riboswitches are metabolite binding domains within certain messenger RNAs that serve as precision sensors for their corresponding targets. Allosteric rearrangement of mRNA structure is mediated by ligand binding, and this results in modulation of gene expression. A class of riboswitches that selectively recognises guanine and becomes saturated at concentrations as low as 5 nM. The record is from Rfam by way of RNAcentral. Lineage: Bacteria; Bacillati; Bacillota; Bacilli; Caryophanales; Bacillaceae.